Non-coding RNA from Meleagris gallopavo (turkey), 418 nucleotides. Lineage: Eukaryota; Metazoa; Chordata; Aves; Galliformes; Phasianidae. The record is from RefSeq and is a predicted model, not a curated record.
GGGCACUGUCCCCGCUACUGGCUGUGUGGUGCGGCUUUCCCCAGAGAGCCCCUGGGGCUCGUCGCCCUCCUCUGAGGGAGCCCUAGGGUAGCGCUAAGGGCUGUUCGGCCGUCCCCGAGUGCUUCUGCUUGGCUUUCGAGGGGAACAAUGAAGUAAAGACACUGCGAUGAAGUACAGAUACAGAAUGUGAUGACAUUGUGGAAGUGCAGUGGUCCUUGCGGUAUUCUCCAGCUACAGUGGAAGUGAGGACGUGUGUCUCACUAUGUUAAGAAGUCUUAAUCUAGAGAACUGCAAAUUGCAAUCCUUCCUGCAUUACUGAACAAGUGGAAACGCGCAGAAUGGAGUUCUACUUUGGAAACGAUUAACCAAUCCACUGUAUUUUCCUUUCUUGUAAUUGAUUUUCUAAAGCUCAAAAGUG